Molecule: ribosomal RNA, 545 nt
Filed under: uncultured bacterium
Lineage: Bacteria
Description: bacterial SSU rRNA
Rfam family: Bacterial small subunit ribosomal RNA
Source: RNAcentral
ACGUAAUAGAUACCCGGGUAGUCCACGCCCUAAACGAUGUCUACUAGUUGUUGGUGGAGUAAAAUCCAUGAGUAAACGCAGCUAAACGCGUGAAGUAGACCGCCUGGGGAGUACGGUCGCAAGAUUAAAACUCAAAUGAAUUGACGGGGGCCCGCACAAGCGGUGGAUUAUGUGGAUUAAAUUCGAUGCAACGCGAAAAACCUUACCUGGCCUUGACAUGUAACGAACUUUCCAGAGAUGGAUUGGUGCUCGAAAGAGAACGUUAACACAGGUGCUGCAUGGCUGUCGUCAGCUCGUGUCGUGAGAUGUUGGGUUAAGUCCCGCAACGAGCGCAACCCUUGCCAUUAAUUGCCAUCAUUUAGUUGGGCACUUUAAUGGGACUGCCGGUGACAAACCGGAGGAAGGUGGGGAUGACGUCAAGUCCUCAUGGCCCUUAUGGCCAGGGCUUCACACGUAAUACAAUGGUCGGUACAGAGAGUUGCCAACCCGCGAGGGGGAGCCAAUCUCAGAAAGCCGAUCGUAGUCCGGAUUGUAGUCUGCAACUC